Molecule: small nuclear RNA, 107 nt
Organism: Peromyscus maniculatus bairdii (prairie deer mouse)
Lineage: Eukaryota; Metazoa; Chordata; Mammalia; Rodentia; Cricetidae
Source: Ensembl
GUGCUCUCUUUGACAACACUUAUAGUAACACUGCAAUAAUAUGGAGAAGAUACGCACGGCCCCUGUGCAAGGAUGACAUAAAGCCAAAGUUUACUUAAGCAAUAUUA